Molecule: ribosomal RNA, 253 nt
Filed under: uncultured bacterium
Lineage: Bacteria
Description: partial 16S ribosomal RNA
Rfam family: Bacterial small subunit ribosomal RNA
Source: RNAcentral
UACAGGGGGUGCAAACGUUGCUAGGAAUCAUUGGGCGUAAAGCGCACGUAGGCGGUCUGUUAUGUCGGAUGUGAAAGCCCUUGGCUCAACUGAGGAAGUGCAUCCGAAACUGGCAGGCUAGAGUACUAAAGAGGGUCGCGGAAUUCCCGGUGUAGAGGUGAAAUUCGUAGAUAUCAGGAGGAACACCGGUGGCGAAGGCGGGUCUCUGGGCCGAUAUUGACGCUGAGGAGCGAAAGCGUGGGGAGCAAACAGG